CGCGGGGUGGAGCAGCUUGGUAGCUCGUCGGGCUCAUAACCCGAAGGUCGGAGGUUCAAAUCCUUCCCCCGCAACCA
This 77-nucleotide transfer RNA is filed under the name Desulfuromonas sp. RNAcentral's name for it is "tRNA-Met". It matches the Rfam family "tRNA". Rfam says of the family: Transfer RNA (tRNA) molecules are approximately 80 nucleotides in length. Their secondary structure includes four short double-helical elements and three loops (D, anti-codon, and T loops). Further hydrogen bonds mediate the characteristic L-shaped molecular structure. tRNAs have two regions of fundamental functional importance: the anti-codon, which is responsible for specific mRNA codon recognition, and the 3' end, to which the tRNAs corresponding amino acid is attached (by aminoacyl-tRNA synthetases). tRNAs cope with the degeneracy of the genetic code in two manners: having more than one tRNA (with a specific anti-codon) for a particular amino acid; and 'wobble' base-pairing, i.e. permitting non-standard base-pairing at the 3rd anti-codon position. The record is from RNAcentral. Lineage: Bacteria; Pseudomonadati; Thermodesulfobacteriota; Desulfuromonadia; Desulfuromonadales; Desulfuromonadaceae. RNAcentral also lists the same sequence under 2 other names.